RNAcentral lists this ribosomal RNA (210 nucleotides) under uncultured Hydnomerulius. RNAcentral's name for it is "partial 18S ribosomal RNA". It matches the Rfam family "Eukaryotic small subunit ribosomal RNA", at positions 1473 to 1682 of the family's 1831-position model. The record is from RNAcentral. Lineage: Eukaryota; Fungi; Basidiomycota; Agaricomycetes; Boletales; Paxillaceae.
UUAGAUGUUCUGGGCCGCACGCGCGCUACACUGACAGAGCCAACGAGUUCUUUUCCUUGGCCGGAAGGUCUGGGUAAUCUUGUGAAACUCUGUCGUGCUGGGGAUAGAGCAUUGCAAUUUUUGCUCUUCAACGAGGAAUUCCUAGUAAGCGUGAGUCAUCAGCUCGCGUUGAUUACGUCCCUGCCCUUUGUACACACCGCCCGUCGCUAC